Long non-coding RNA from Lolium perenne, 309 nucleotides. RefSeq lists it as uncharacterized. NCBI's taxonomy places the organism in Eukaryota, Viridiplantae, Streptophyta, Magnoliopsida, Poales, Poaceae. The record is from RefSeq and is a predicted model, not a curated record.
CGCAAACAUUGUACCCACCGCAGGAAAGUCCGCCGCAAGAAGAUCCACCGCCCACGACGACCGGGAUUUGUUCCGCGCACCAAUUGGUAGUAUAGCUUGGUACGAAAUAGUCCUCAAUGUCUGGUCGUAGCGGGUACACCGGCGAGGGUGGGGAUUCGAUCAUGUCGUGGCCACGUUCUACUUCUCCUACCUCGUCGGAAGUGCAGUUAGCCAGGAAAGCCGAUGAUCCAUGGUACAUUGCAUACCAAGAUGAAUCAACCCAGUGGUGUAGCCAGAGGAUGGAUUUGGAGGAGAAGGUGGCCAAUUUAG